CUAUUGGAGAGUUUGAUCCUGGCUCAGGACGAACGCUGGCGGCGUGCUUAACACAUGCAAGUCAUGGGGGCCCAGCAAUGGGCAACCGGCGAACGGGUGCGUAACACGUGAGCAACCUACCGAACUGUGGGGGAUAGCCGGCCUAACGGCCGAGUAAUACCGCAUACGCUCUCAGCGAGGCAUUUCAUUGAGAGGAAACCUACGGGACAGAUCGAGGGGCUCGCGGCCUAUCAGCUAGUUGGCGAGGUAACGGCUCACCAAGGCAACGACGGGUAGCUGGUCUGAGAGGAUGGCCAGCCACAUUGGGACUGAGAUACGG
This 319-nucleotide ribosomal RNA is filed under the name Gemmatimonadota bacterium. Its description in RNAcentral is "bacterial SSU rRNA". It matches the Rfam family "Bacterial small subunit ribosomal RNA", at positions 1 to 329 of the family's 1533-position model. Lineage: Bacteria; Pseudomonadati; Gemmatimonadota. The record is from RNAcentral.